Molecule: long non-coding RNA, 474 nt
Filed under: Homo sapiens (human)
Lineage: Eukaryota; Metazoa; Chordata; Mammalia; Primates; Hominidae
Description: non-protein coding lnc-TFB1M-5:4
Source: RNAcentral
UGGCUGCCUCCGGAAAACUCAGCACUUGCCGUCUCCCUCCGUUGCCCACGAUUCGAGAAAUCAUUAAGUUGUUAAGACUGCAAGCAGCGAAGCAGCUAUCACAGAAUUUCCUCCUGGACUUGAGGCUGACAGGUGGAUGGCUUAGCAGUGCUCCCCGGAUGUCUCCCCAGUGUCCGUGGGGGCGUGGGCCGGGGGGUCUUGCACGUCCCCGCGGGCGGGUGUCCAGGCACUGGCGUGCGACGGGCUUUUGGUCAGGUCCUUCGACCUCUUUGUAUCAGAACUCCGGUCCCACCGCCCAGGAGACACGUGAAAUAAGAUUGUAAGGAAAGCUGGCAAUCUGACAAAUGCUUAUGUUUACGAAGUGGGCCCUGGGCCAGGGGGAAUCACAAGAUCUAUUCUUAAUGCCGACGUCGCUGAACUUCUGGUGGUUGAAAAGGACACUCGAUUUAUUCCUGGAUUACAGGUGAGAUGCUU